UUAAAGGAAUUGACGGGGAGCACCACAACGGGUGGAGCUUGCGGUUUAAUUGGAUUCAACGCCGGAAUCUUACCGGGACCGACAGCAAUAUGAAGGCCAGGCUGAAGACUUUGCCGGAUUAGCUGAGAGGUGGUGCAUGGCCGUCGUCAGUUCGUACUGUGAAGCAUCCUGUUAAGUCAGGCAACGAGCGAGACCCACGCCCACAGUUGCCAGCGUACUCUCUGGAGUGACGGGUACACUGUGGGGACCGCCGCUGCUAAAGCGGAGGAAGGAAUGGGCAACGGUAGGUCAGUAUGCCCCGAAUAUCCCGGGCUACACGCGAGCUACAAUGGUUGGUACAAUGGGUAUCUACCCCGAAAGGGGACGGGAAUCUCCUAAAACCAAUCUUAGUUCGGAUUGAGGGCUGCAACUCGCCCUCAUGAAGCUGGAAUCUGUAGUAAUCGUGUCUCAAAAUGGCACGGUGAAUAUGUCCCUGCUCCUU
Molecule: ribosomal RNA, 481 nt
Filed under: uncultured Methanosaeta sp.
Lineage: Archaea; Methanobacteriati; Methanobacteriota; Methanomicrobia; Methanotrichales; Methanotrichaceae
Description: bacterial SSU rRNA
Rfam family: Archaeal small subunit ribosomal RNA
Source: RNAcentral